UAGAAUGUUAAGAGAUGUUUGACUACUUCACGAGGAGAUGGGAUCUGCAUUGAAAUACUACAUCGAAUAUUGAGGAUUUGGAGACUGAAUAUUAACACUUAGAGGAUGAAUGUUGGCAGUUGUUGACACCGGAAAUCAACAUUGCAUCUGUUGGAGUAUAUUCGAAUGUUUUCAAGUGGCAAUGAAUCCCUUUGAUUCUGAUAUUAUCUAUCUAUGGAGUCAAAAACACUCUUGUUUUGUAUCUGGUAACUUGCGGACACAAGAGUUGACAGUUCAUCAUUCAUCAGGAUUCGGAGGAUUGGACUAGUGAUGAAGGUUGUUGUCGCAUAAACACUUCUGGUUUUAAGCAGUAUAUGAAGUAUACGGAACAUUGUUCUCGUCGCUACAACAAAACUUCUAUCAUCAUGUUACCUCAAUUUGUGGUCUCACGGUGGAUGGAUUCCGUACACCUUCCUCCAAAUUCUGAUUUAACUCUUUCUAUUGGUAUAAUACAAAACAAGGUGUUUACGUAUUUUGUUUUAUCCUUGUUUAGCUAGCUUUCUCUAGGUCUAGCUACUCUUUUGUGAUGAAUGACUUGUGCCAUCU
Arabidopsis thaliana (thale cress) is the source of this 585-nucleotide RNA transcript. RefSeq lists it as uncharacterized. The transcript has a single exon. Lineage: Eukaryota; Viridiplantae; Streptophyta; Magnoliopsida; Brassicales; Brassicaceae. The record is from RefSeq.